CUGUUAGUACAAAAGAAGAAAGUUGCUCACAGAAUUAGCUAAUUUUCAGUAUUUUUGUUUUAACUGAGUUGUUGAUUGUGUGGUUCAUUGAAGAAGAAGACAGCUGUGAUAAGAAGCCAGAUAAAGAUCUCAUGAUCUUAUAUGAGGUGGACUUUCAGUGGUCUUCAAAGAGUUGUCCUGCAGCCCUGAGCAAGCUUGAUGCAUCCUUGCUGUCAUAUCCUGUCAUAUCCUGACUAAAUAUACCAGUGAGUUCACACUGUAUUGAAGAAAACCUUUCCUUGAUAUAGGCGUGUAGCCUAUCUUUUAGGAGACCUCUCUGGAAUGUUCUGCUUUGGAAAUUUAUUCACAAGCAUGCAUACUAAAAGAAGCAAUGUUGAAAGGAAGGUAUGGCUUAAUUUGGUUCUGAAUUUAAAUUAAGGGGGAGAGGGAAGAGGUAUUAGUUGAUCAUAAAUUAAAAAAAAUCUGUGAACUCUUUUAAGUACAAUAAAAUCAGGUUUUUGGUAUGUUUCUCUUUGUAUGAAUAAGAAUAUGGUUAUAGUGGACAUCAAGCUGAAUACCAGGCAAGAAUUUGUUCUUAUCAGGAAAAAGGCAAAGUAAUACUGGGCUACAUUAAGAGGAGGGUGGCCAUCAGAUUAAGGGAAAUUACAUCCUUCCACUGAGUGCUGGUGAAGCUAAAGCUGGAAUAAUGCCCAGUUUGGGGUCUCCAAUUAAAGAGAGAUGUUGGAAAGCUCGAGAGCUGCAUAGGCAGUCAGAGGCCUAGAGUUCGUGAUCUACGAGUAUGUAAUGGGCUCAGGCUUGUUUUGUCUAGCAAAGAGGAGACUAAAGGCAGCCUAAUAGUAACCUGCGGCUACUUGAAAGGGAGCUACAAAGAUGUCAGGAUAAACUCCUGUUAGUAGAGGAAUAAUAUGUACUGAGGGAUAAUGAUAAUGAAUUGUAGCUUGUCAGGUUCAAGUUGGACAUUAGAGGGGAAAAAAUCCCUAGGAGAGCAGGGCAGCAUGGGAACAUAUUACCCUGAGCAGCUGUGGGAUCUUCAUCCCUGGAGGUUUUCAAGAUUUGGCUGAGCAAAGCCCUUGCUGACCUGGUGCAGUGCAGGGGUCAGCCCUGCUUUGAACAGGAGGCUGUAAUUGCAGGUGCUUGUGAAAUUUAUACACAUACAUCAGACCUAUGGUCACUGCAAGUGCUUUUUCACUUUUAUGAGCCCUGGAUUCAUACAGUUUCAUAACUGCAAGUUUUGAUUCAUUCCCACAUCUACAAUAGAAAUAUGUAAAUAAAAAUGAAGGAAAAAAAAGGAAGUACCACAUAUAAGUUAGCAGAAUUGGUAUCAUAUUGGUAUCUUACUGGGUUGCUGAAAAUGGACACUUUCUUAAGUGGAUAGCCUGGCUGCAUAUUUCUGCAGAUCUCAGUGUUGAGAAGCACUGAGGCAUCCUUGAGGCUGAAGUGCUGGGACCUCUAAAAUGUAAAAAUAACUGAUGAACUGCAUGUUUGAUUAACAAAUAUAAACACCUCAGUAACUUCUGAACUGUGAAUCAACAAAUGAACACUACUUAGUCAUAAAAGGUUGAGUUUUGGAUGAAAAAUAUUUGCUGAAUUUCUGAUUGCCCAGGAGAAAUUUGCAUUGCAAAUAAGUGACACUUUGAAAGGGUUAUAUCACUUUUUGUAUGCAUUUCAACACUGCUGAGGCUUAAUUUAUGUACUGUCAUUGCAGAGAGGGAAAUAUAAUGGAUUUUUAAUUAUCCCAAGUUACAAAGAGCAAAUGGAAGGUAGUCCAGUUUCUAGACAAAGCGGGAAGAGAAUUAGGAGUUAUAAAGAACAAAUUACACAGGCAUGCCCUAUUAAAGUUUUCUUGGGCACAGGACAUUCCACUAUUUUAAAAGGUAUACACUGAUUUCUUGAUUCGUUCUCAAGGUACAAUAUUUAAUCACGUUUUUAAAAUGGUUAACGAGGUUGCAUGCACCAAAUUAACUCUGGUUUGUUUAUAUUCGUGCAUGCUUCUUUGCUUCUGAGUAAGAAGGCUGAUGUACUGUACAAAGGCAACAAAGCCCUGCUGACAGUGUUUUACAUUUUCUGGCUUUUCCACUUCCUUGACUUGAGAAGGUGGGAAAUUAUUCACAUACUUUCAUAAAGUUCUUUGUCCUCAGAUCAUGUAAUAAAACACAUAAUUAACGGUGCCUUUAAGCUUAAAUUCUUUCAGCAACUGCUAGCACGUGGCUGUUCUAUUUCUAAGGUAGAGGGCUCAAAUUAUCUGAUGAGCUGUUUUUUGCUUUUUUUUUUUUUUUUGCAUCCAUGUAUUUCUGAAUCUUAAAAACACUUGUUCAGGGACAACCGUUUGCGAGGGAGAUAGUAGAACUUCUCUGUACCUUUUUCUUUUUGCUCCUGUUCACUAAGAACUUGAUUAAGCACCUGUUAAUGUCAGUAACAGUAAGAAUCUUAUUAAUUUCAACAGAUAUGGGUUUAAACCACAACAACACACAGAGUAAGAGCUUCUUCCCUCCCUGUUUCUAUGAGAAUGUUAUGGCUAACACUAUGUUUCAUUAUUCUCACUUCUUCCCCUCCCCCCCAAUUUUCCCUGUCUUUUCACGUCUAAUUUUUUUCACUUUUCCUGCAGGUUGGCACUGGAAACACAUUCAACAUGUAUUUUCAUUAAAGUAUGUUAAAUUACAAA
This is a long non-coding RNA of Dromaius novaehollandiae (emu), 2662 nucleotides long. RefSeq lists it as uncharacterized. The record is from RefSeq and is a predicted model, not a curated record. The transcript is spliced from 2 exons. NCBI's taxonomy places the organism in Eukaryota, Metazoa, Chordata, Aves, Casuariiformes, Dromaiidae.